This 492-nucleotide ribosomal RNA is filed under the name uncultured bacterium. RNAcentral describes it as "partial 16S ribosomal RNA". It matches the Rfam family "Bacterial small subunit ribosomal RNA", at positions 29 to 507 of the family's 1533-position model. The record is from RNAcentral.
AGUGAACGCUGGCGGUAGGCCUAACACAUGCAAGUCGAACGGCAGCACAGUAAGAGCUUGCUCUUACGGGUGGCGAGUGGCGGACGGGUGAGGAAUACAUCGGAAUCUACUUUUUCGUGGGGGAUAACGUAGGGAAACUUACGCUAAUACCGCAUACGACCUACGGGUGAAAGCAGGGGAUCUUCGGACCUUGCGCGAAUGAAUGAGCCGAUGUCGGAUUAGCUAGUUGGCGGGGUAAAGGCCCACCAAGGCGACGAUCCGUAGCUGGUCUGAGAGGAUGAUCAGCCACACUGGAACUGGGACACGGUCCAGACUCCUACGGGAGGCAGCAGUGGGAUAUAUUGGACAGUGGGCGCAAGCCUGAUCCAGCCAUACCGCGUGUGUGAAGAAGGCCUUCGGGUUGUAAAGCCCUUUUGUUGGGAAAGAAAAGCAGCAGGUUAAUACCCCGCUGUUCUGACGGUACCCAAAGAAUAAGCACCGGCUAACUUCGUG